RNAcentral lists this ribosomal RNA (488 nucleotides) under uncultured bacterium. RNAcentral describes it as "bacterial SSU rRNA". It matches the Rfam family "Bacterial small subunit ribosomal RNA", at positions 501 to 989 of the family's 1533-position model. The record is from RNAcentral.
CUACGUGCCAGCAGCCGCGGUAAUACGUAGGUCCCGAGCGUUGUCCGGAUUUAUUGGGCGUAAAGCGAGCGCAGGCGGUUAGAUAAGUCUGAAGUUAAAGGCUGUGGCUUAACCAUAGUAUGCUUUGGAAACUGUUUAACUUGAGUGCAGAAGGGGAGAGUGGAAUUCCAUGUGUAGCGGUGAAAUGCGUAGAUAUAUGGAGGAAUACCGGUGGCGAAGGCGGCCCCCUGGACAAAGACUGACGCUCAGGUGCGAAAGCGUGGGGAGCAAACAGGAUUAGAUACCCUGGUAGUCCACGCCGUAAACGAUGUCGAUUUGGAGGUUGUGCCCUUGAGGCGUGGCUUCCGGAGCUAACGCGUUAAAUCGACCGCCUGGGGAGUACGGCCGCAAGGUUAAAACUCAAAUGAAUUGACGGGGGCCCGCACAAGCGGUGGAGCAUGUGGUUUAAUUCGAUGCAACGCGAAGAACCUUACCUGGUCUUGACAUCC